Non-coding RNA from Chiloscyllium plagiosum (whitespotted bambooshark), 638 nucleotides. NCBI's taxonomy places the organism in Eukaryota, Metazoa, Chordata, Chondrichthyes, Orectolobiformes, Hemiscylliidae. The record is from the annotation of a RefSeq genome assembly.
AAGCAAGCUUUCUACAUUUGGUCAUCCUUUUCUGAGCAACAGAGUGAGCUUCUAAUAUUUCUCUUUUCUAACAUAAACAGGAACUUGUGGCUAUCGACGUUAUCAGAACGUCAGUUCAAGGUCAUCCUAUCGCACGACUUGCAGGAAGUGACAUCAAAUUAAACGUAAUCCAAGCUGACAGCAUUUUCUUCUUGGAUGUUCGGCAGACUUUUGAGACACAAAAUUUGACAUCGAAUUCCAAACCAGCAGUGAUGUUGCUGUCCGUUCUCUCACUGACCUGCGUUGCCUCCAUUGUUGAUUUGAGCGAUGCAGUUUCUGUUACUCAACGGUAUCUUUCGUUAACGCAGACAGAGGGAAAAGAUGUCACGUUAAAUUGCACCUACUCUGAAGAUGGUUAUUACUUGUACUGGUACCGUCAGUACUCAGGCAGAGAGCCAGAGUUUGCAGUUCGGAGGCACACGGGUGGUGGUGCUGACGUGAAGGCAGAUUUCGCUCAGACCCGGUUUUCUGAUACCCUCCAGAAGACAGAGAAGUUGUACCAAUUGACCAUCUCGCAGCUUCUGCUGUCUGACACCGCCGUCUAUUACUGUGCAAUAAGCCUCACAGUGACAGAAAGGAGUGAAAGCCUUGUACAAUAA